Ostrea edulis (European flat oyster) is the source of this 202-nucleotide long non-coding RNA. RefSeq lists it as uncharacterized. NCBI's taxonomy places the organism in Eukaryota, Metazoa, Mollusca, Bivalvia, Ostreida, Ostreidae. The transcript has 3 exons. The record is from RefSeq and is a predicted model, not a curated record.
GACGGCAACAUUAUAAUGACGGGAAACGGUCUUUUUCAGCUGUUAAUCUGCUCGUCCCUGUUCGUCGGAUACUUUUUCGACGACUGUCCUUGUUCAUCCGAGGGAUUCCCUGUCUGUGGAUCCGAUGGCAACACGUAUCCGAACGAGUGCACGGCUAUACUCUGCAAUGAUGUGUAUUAUACUACAGCUGGGGCAUGUGGGU